This 199-nucleotide ribosomal RNA is filed under the name Salsuginibacillus halophilus. RNAcentral's name for it is "Bacterial large subunit ribosomal RNA". It matches the Rfam family "Bacterial large subunit ribosomal RNA", at positions 2728 to 2925 of the family's 2925-position model. The record is from Rfam by way of RNAcentral. Lineage: Bacteria; Bacillati; Bacillota; Bacilli; Caryophanales; Bacillaceae.
GCCAGGAGCAUCGCUGGGUAGCUACGUGCGGCCGGGAUAAGUGCUGAAAGCAUCUAAGCAUGAAGCCCCCCUCGAGAUGAAAUUUCCCAUCACGUCAAGUGAGUAAGAUCCCUCGAAGAUGACGAGGUUGAUAGGUCGGAAGUGGACGUGUGGUGACACAUGGAGCUGACCGAUACUAAUCGAUCGAGGGCUUAUCCUA